Molecule: unclassified non-coding RNA, 1178 nt
Filed under: Hevea brasiliensis (rubber tree)
Lineage: Eukaryota; Viridiplantae; Streptophyta; Magnoliopsida; Malpighiales; Euphorbiaceae
Source: RNAcentral
UAACAAUAAGCAUAUCACCUUCUUUAUAUUCAAACAAAUAUUUAGACAUUGUGUAUUUUAGCUCAUGGAUUUACACUUAUCUAUUGCAAAGUAGGCUUCCUGUACUAGCCAUAGCACAAGGAAACCACAUUACAUUCUAUCACCUGAACUCAUCUCUGCAAAUGUUCUCAAGUAAUAGAACUUCAAAUUACAUUCUAUCAACCUUCCAAUAAUAAGGAACCACUUUUCAAGAUUCCCAUGAAGUGCUAGAUUUAUACUAAGGUGAAGUGCUAUGAAUCAUUAAAUAAAAUUUUACUCCACAUAAUAGAACUUCACAUUACAUUCUAUCACCUGCCAAAUAAUAAGGAAACCAAUUUUCAAGAUUCCCAUUAAGUGCCACAUUUUUACCAAGGUGAAGUGCUAUGAAUCAUUGCAUAAAAUUUUGCUCCACGUAAUACUUGAAACUGAUACAAAUGGAAACUCACAAAAGACACUAUAUUAGGAGCACAUUGAGAUAGAUGAAUGAAUUUGAAAUUAAAAGAAUGCAAUAAUAAAAUUUUAGAAAAUGCAAUAAAAUAAUAUAUGGCAGUCCAUUAUAAUGAAUAUGUAUUAAUCUUUUGCGAGAACAAAUUUAAAUAAAUGAAUUAAAGAAAAAUAACAUUAUGCAUAGGCGCCAAGUGAGAUGAUAUAGGCAUGAUUUGCCAAUUUCUAGACUGCAGCCAACCAUAGUCUCCAUCAACAUUUCAUGUCCAAUUUUGUACCAUGAAAAUUACUGAAACUUUUCAUCAAACAUGUUCCAGGCAUUCAAGAAUGCAGGCUACAGUCUCUAGUACAUGUCCAAUUUGUAGCAUGAAAACGCAUAAGCAUUUCAUUAAAUAGGUUUUAGAUCAAACAUAUUAAGAAAAUAUUUCAGUAUCAAAGGCAUUUUGCUUGUAAUAUAAAGACUUUGGAGCUUUUAUGACAAUCAAAGGAAUUAUGUUGUAAGAUAAAGAUAUGGAAUAUAGAAUUGGAAUGGCUGAAAAAUAAAAACGGAACCAUUAUAACUGAAAGUAGAGAACUUACCAAGGCAUUAAAAACAUUGAGGGGAAGACAAAAAGAUAAAGCAUAGUAAUUGAAAGCAGGGAACCUGUUGGGAGUUAAAACGUUGAGGGCCCUCGAGGGAAGAAGUGCUAAAAACGUAGAAGAAAUAACGAUAGUAA